This is a long non-coding RNA of Aquila chrysaetos chrysaetos, 456 nucleotides long. RefSeq lists it as uncharacterized. NCBI's taxonomy places the organism in Eukaryota, Metazoa, Chordata, Aves, Accipitriformes, Accipitridae. The transcript has 3 exons. The record is from RefSeq and is a predicted model, not a curated record.
GGGAGAGGGAGGGAAGGAGGGAGGGAGGGAAGUACAGGACACUUGGGAGAGUGCAAAACCCGUGCUGGAGAGGGAGAGCUUGGCUUUGGAAGUACGGAACUAUCUUGCCAAGGGCUUGCACGUAAGCAUGUUAAAUUUACAAACAGCAAUCAGAAUAAAAGUCACCCCGACAGACAGCAGAAUAGGCCCUAGUAACUGAGUCCACUCCAGCUGCUGGUGAUGCAGGAAGAAAGACUUCUCCUAGAGAAGAGGCAAGCAUCUAUAUUUUUGUGAAUACUUCUCAUAUCCAAAGAACUGCAGUGUUGCAUUUAGAAGCAGAGCAAUGCCAGUGCAGGCAGCAAGGAAGAGAGACCUUAACUUUACUUACAGAAGAUAAGCAAUCCUUACCUCCCACUUUGCCUGUUUAAGUAAGUGUGAAUCAGUAACCAACUUGAUUUGCUCCCUAGCAUUUGUAUG